Molecule: long non-coding RNA, 2147 nt
Organism: Empidonax traillii (willow flycatcher)
Lineage: Eukaryota; Metazoa; Chordata; Aves; Passeriformes; Tyrannidae
Exons: 3
Source: RefSeq, a predicted model, not a curated record
AUAAGGACUGGAGCCGGGGCUGGGGCCGGGGCUGGGACUGGGACUAGGACUAGGGCUGGGAGUAGGGCUGGGGCUGGCGGUGAGACUGGAGCUGCUGCUGCCCAGGUCCCCCCCCAGGGCUGAGCCAAGGCGGGAAGGGGUCGAGAGGACCCUGAUGGGAAAGGAGCCAAUUGGACAGAGGAAUUGACCUCAGUUAGAAAGAGGGAAUUUGUAACAGGAAAUGAGACUGUCCAUGUGAAAGGAAGGAAUCAGAUAGUAAAUCCAGUGUGGGAGCAGCAACACAGAAGAAAUGGGUUUAUAACACAUAAUAAACUGAUCAAGAGUGUAAAAUAUGAUGUUCUGGGGGGAAAAGGCAUCUCUAGAGAGCAGGGCCCUGACAAUGAAAAGGAAAAAAUCCACAACCCCUCCCCACCAAAGCUCCUGUAUGAUUGAAAGGCACCAGCUCAUAAGUGACCUGGAGCUUGGACUGGGAGUGAGUUUGAUUUGAGAGCCCUUAGUGAGGAUACAGGACCAGUGAUGGGGAGGUCAGGUACUCAUGAGAGAUUUGUAAUAGUGGCAUGAAUGUCUGCCCAGACUCAAGCUACCACAUAUCUAGAAGAAUCUUUAGGCCUUCUUUAGGGAGGAAAGGGACUGGCAUAAAAGUACUUCAGGUGUCUCAUCCAUUAAAGAUAACUUUCAGAGCAUGGCCAGACGAAAUAUCUGCUCCUGAAUCUGCAUGUCAGCAGUUCUGGUGUCUGUGCUGUUGUGAGAGCUUCCUAGGAGAGAAUCAGAACUCACAGGCAUGACUGAAUAAAAACCUAUGAUUCCAGAAAUCAUUGGGGAGCACUGAACCUGAAGGGUGUUGUUGUUUCCAUCCCCUAUCCAGUAACAAGUCUUCAUGGAGUAGAGGAGGUAUGGGCUUGCAUUGGAAACAGAGGAGGGAGAGACAAAAAAUUAAGAACUAAAAACUGUGUGUCAGAAGCCUCAUCUGCUCACAGCAGUUAUGGGGCAAGAACCAGACCAAACCAGACAGAGAAGGAGGAGAGCUCUUCUUCCAUUUCGGUUUCAAGGAAGAGGAUUAAUAUUUGAUAAGAAAAAUCAAUUAGCUCACAAGUAACAUGGAGAUUCUGUCCAUAAUCUAUGGAAACAAUCCUUAAAGAAACCUUUUAAUGCAUAGCAUCCAUGAUGGUUUGGAAGUCUUGGAGCGUGUUUGUUGGAAGCUGGUUAACUCAAGCUUUGCCUUAGGUUCUACCUUGUAAGAAUAUCUAGGAGUUUAUUAUUGUCUCUUGGCUAUAAGGCCUCUUAUGUUUUGUCAAAUCCCAUUCAUCUUAAUUCUUAACUUGAAUUUGUAGGUGCUCAUUCAUUCUGGUUUUUAUUUUAACUAUUACCUAGUUUCUUCACCUAUGCAUCCAUAUAUGUGUCAUCGUAACAUUUUGCCGUGACUGUAAAUCUAUUGCAAAGCUGCAGCACUUUUGUUAUUUCUUAGAGCUCUCAGAAGUCCUGGUUUUAAUCCUCUCAUAAAACCCUAAUUGUUUUGUUUAUACUUUUCAUUGUAAUUUUAAUGUAAGUUUUACAGAAAGCUCCCUGUAAGUAGUAUCAACUCCUCCUGCCCUCGACCUUCUUGUGCCAGUUUUUUUCUGAUUUAUUAGCUUUUAUCUGAAAAGAGGUAGUCUCUCCUGGUACAUGCUCCCUCUUGUUUAUCUGGAUUUUCUAUCACCAAGUUCUCAGUCUCAGGGACUCCUGAAGUGUAGUGAUCAGUCCUUUAACACAUAACUUAUUGAAGCAUGUGUCAUUAUUUGCAGUCUGUUCCCAAGGGAUUGCCUUAUAUGAGAGAAAACAGCGAGACUGGGUUUGUGACAAGUUGUGUUAAAUCUUUUCGAAAAGACCUCUUCAGUCACGAGCAGGGAGGUUACAGUUGUAGUAAGGACAUUUGCAGGCAGGAGAGGGAUUUUAUUUUGUCAGUUGUUAUGCUUCAUUUUGCAAUCAAUUGUGUAUUUCCUCUGAAAAAAAAAAAAAAAAGGAGCAGGAGCAUCAUUAUGUAAUCAUUUAACAUUGUUAUUGUUUAAACCCAGCUGGAAAUAAAGCACCAUGCAGCCAUUUGCUCAGGCCCCCCUCCCUCCCCCUCCUACCCUGGUGGAAUGGGGAGGAGAAUCAAAGUAAAACUUGUA